This 254-nucleotide ribosomal RNA is filed under the name uncultured bacterium. RNAcentral's name for it is "partial 16S ribosomal RNA". It matches the Rfam family "Bacterial small subunit ribosomal RNA", at positions 524 to 776 of the family's 1533-position model. The record is from RNAcentral.
UACGGGGGGAGCAAGCGUUGUUCGGAUUUACUGGGCGUAAGGGGCGCGUAGGCGGUCGUGACAAGUCACUUGUGAAAUCUCCGGGCUUAACUCGGAACGGUCAAGUGAUACUGUCGGACUAGAGUACAGAAGGGGCAACUGGAAUUCUCGGUGUAGCGGUGAAAUGCGUAGAUAUCGAGAGGAACACCGAUGGCGAAGGCAGCCCCCUGGGUCAAAACUGACGCUCAUGCACGAAAGCGUGGGGAGCAAACAGG